This 746-nucleotide long non-coding RNA is filed under the name Dromaius novaehollandiae (emu). RNAcentral describes it as "lncRNA (ENSDNVG00000006435.1)". Lineage: Eukaryota; Metazoa; Chordata; Aves; Casuariiformes; Dromaiidae. The record is from RNAcentral.
CUACAAUGUUUUGAAGGUCAAGGAAAGAAAUGAAAGGUCAAAAAGUACUGAAACAGAAGGAACAGUGAAGAGGAGAAGAGUGGAAGAUGAAGCAGAGACUCCAUACCCAGAGUCAAAUAUGGACAGAACGGGAGCUGGGUGUGUUCACAGCAUGAGUAAAGCAGAACAUGGAUUUGAAAUGAAUUGCUCCAAAGAAAUUCAGUGUGAAUAUUGUCCGGCAUCUCUUACUGAGGGCUGUAACCCUAGGAAUUCAGGGGGACCUGUGGAAUGUAACACUGAAAAAAAUACAGAAACCAGUCAGGCUGAAGGUGAAAUGCAGCUACCACAGCAAAUGGAUCAAGUCAGAAACAAAGGAAAUACAGAGUUAAAAGGAAGAAGUUUCUCAGAGUUCUGGAGAAGCAUACUCAUUUCUCCAUUGCAGCAUCUUUUUGGUGGAAAUAACUGACCCUUCAAGUAUUAAUUGUUGUGGAAAGGUAAACUUGUAGCGUGWACGUCAGGUUGUGUUGUUUCCUUUUGUAAUUCAGCUUUUCACAUUGCUUGUCUCAGCUAUUAAAUGCAAUUUACUUUGUUUACRUUUUCAAAUUAACAUACUGAAGAUGUUGGGUUAGAAAUAGUAUGAUUUUUGCCUUCACAAACUAGAGUUUUUGAAAAAAGAGUAAAAAGUGUUGCAAUUUUGAUCUUUAAAUGUGAUAAACGGAAUUUUACAUUUUAAAAUCAUUAUAUGAGAUUCUAAUAAAACAGACAUC